GAUGAACGCUGGCGGCGUGCUUAACACAUACAAGUCGAACGGAAAGGCCCCUGCUUGCAGGGGUACUCGAGUGGCGAACGGGUGAGUAACACGUGGGUGACCUGCCCCGCACUUCGGGAUAAGCCUGGGAAACUGGGUCUAAUACCGGAUAGGACCACUUCGUGGAGGUUGUGGUGGGAAGUUUUUUCGGGGUGGGAUGAGCUCGCGGCCUAUCGGCUUGUUGGUGGGGAAAUGGCCUACCAAGGCGUCGACGGGUAGCCGGCCUGGGAGGGUGUACGGCCACAUUGGGACUGAGAUACGGCCCAGACUCCUACGGGAGGCAGCAGUGGGGAAUAUUGCACAAUGGGCGCAAGCCUGAUGCAGCGACGCCGCGUGGGGGAUGACGGCCUUCGGGUUGUAAACUCCUUUCGCUAGGGACGAAGCGUUAUGUGACGGUACCUAGAGAAGAAGCACCGGCUAACUACGUGCCAGCAGCCGCCGUAA
RNAcentral lists this ribosomal RNA (483 nucleotides) under uncultured bacterium. Its description in RNAcentral is "partial 16S ribosomal RNA". It matches the Rfam family "Bacterial small subunit ribosomal RNA", at positions 28 to 523 of the family's 1533-position model. The record is from RNAcentral.